UACAGAGGGGGCAAGCGUUGUUCGGAAUUACUGGGCGUAAAGGGCUCGUAGGCGGCCAACUAAGUCAGACGUGAAAUCCCUCGGCUUAACCGGGGAACUGCGUCUGAUACUGGAUGGCUUGAAUCCGGGAGAGGGAUGCGGAAUUCCAGGUGUAGCGAUGAAAUGCGUAGAUAUCUGGAGGAACACCGGUGGCGAAGGCGGCAUCCUGGACCGGCAUUGACGCUGAGGAGCGAAAGCCAGGGGAGCAAACGGG
RNAcentral lists this ribosomal RNA (253 nucleotides) under uncultured bacterium. RNAcentral describes it as "partial 16S ribosomal RNA". It matches the Rfam family "Bacterial small subunit ribosomal RNA", at positions 524 to 776 of the family's 1533-position model. The record is from RNAcentral.